UCAGUGCAACCAAGCAUAGAACUACCUCAAUAAUAUAAAGUAUAAUGAUGGUAAAUGAUUAAUACACAUAUGAUCACAAAGAUUCAAAGCAAAUUAUUACUUUACAAAAUCUCUCUAAACAAAUAGCAAAGAACCUUCUUGUAUUGCAAAGAAAAAUAUUGUAAAAAAUGUAAUAAGUUUUGAAUUAAAUUCAUUAGCCUUUAUUGCAUCUUUGUACAAAUCAAAACAAAUUUCAAUUCUAUCUUCAAUCCAUUUGGCCCAAAACCACACCUAUAUUAUUUUUGGUACUUAGAUUUGACUUAGUACAUUGCAAUUUACAAUUCAAUUUUAUCAAUAUCAAACUAAUCAGUUGCAAUGUAUAAUAUAC
This 367-nucleotide long non-coding RNA is filed under the name Physcomitrium patens. RNAcentral describes it as "long non-coding RNA (PPAT_LNC003123)". Lineage: Eukaryota; Viridiplantae; Streptophyta; Bryopsida; Funariales; Funariaceae. The record is from RNAcentral.